UCGAGAAUCUUCCACAAUGGACGAAAGUCUGAUGGAGCGAUGCCGCGUGAUUGAUGAAGCGAUUCGUCGCGUAAAGAUCUUUUAUGAGGGAAGAAGUUUAUUGACGGUACCUCAUGAAUAAGGGGCUCCUAACUCUGUGCCAGCAGGAGCGGUAAUACAGAGGCCCCGAGCGUUAUCCGGAAUUAUUGGGCGUAAAGGGUGCGUAGGUUGCGUUGUUAGUCGUUUGUGAAAGCCCCGGGCUCAACCUGGGAAACGCGAACGAUACGGCAAUGCUUGAGUAUGUCAGAGGUGUGCAGAACUUUCGGUGUAGGGGUGAAAUCCGUUGAUAUCGAAAGGAAUACCAAAAGCGAAGGCAGCACACUGGGGCAUUACUGACACUGAAGCACGAAAGCGUGGGUAG
This 400-nucleotide ribosomal RNA is filed under the name uncultured bacterium. RNAcentral describes it as "bacterial SSU rRNA". It matches the Rfam family "Bacterial small subunit ribosomal RNA", at positions 355 to 768 of the family's 1533-position model. The record is from RNAcentral.